Molecule: small nuclear RNA, 102 nt
Organism: Sorex fumeus (smoky shrew)
Lineage: Eukaryota; Metazoa; Chordata; Mammalia; Eulipotyphla; Soricidae
Source: RefSeq, a predicted model, not a curated record
GUGCUCAGCAGCACAUAUAAUAAGGCUGGAGUGAUACCGAGACUAUUAGCAUGAUUCCUAUGUAAGGAUGGCAUGCAAAUUUGUGAAGCAAUCCAUAAAUAU